GGAAGUCUUCGGCAAUGGACGAAAGUCUGACCGAGCAACGCCGCGUGAGUGAAGAAGGUUUUCGGAUCGUAAACUCUGUUGUUAGAGAAGAACAAGGGUGAGAGUAACUGUUCACCCCUUGACGGUAUCUAACCAGAAAGCCACGGCUAACUACGUGCCAG
RNAcentral lists this ribosomal RNA (161 nucleotides) under uncultured bacterium. Its description in RNAcentral is "partial 16S ribosomal RNA". It matches the Rfam family "Bacterial small subunit ribosomal RNA", at positions 357 to 511 of the family's 1533-position model. The record is from RNAcentral.